GCGCUGCUUAACAUGCAGUCGAACGGCAGCACGGAGCUUGCUCUGGUGGCGAGUGGCGAACGGGUGAGUAAUAUAUCGGAACGUACCCUAGAGUGGGGGAUAACGUAGCGAAAGUUACGCUAAUACCGCAUACGAUCUAAGGAUGAAAGUGGGGGAUCGCAAGACCUCAUGCUCGUGGAGCGGCCGAUAUCUGAUUAGCUAGUUGGUAGGGUAAAAGCCUACCAAGGCAUCGAUCAGUAGCUGGUCUGAGAGGACGACCAGCCACACUGGAACUGAGACACGGUCCAGACUCCUACGGGAGGCAGCAGUGGGGAAUUUUGGACAAUGGGCGAAAGCCUGAUCCAGCAAUGCCGCGUGAGUGAAGAAGGCCUUCGGGUUGUAAAGCUCUUUUGUCAGGGAAGAAACGGUGAAAGCUAAUAUCCUUUGCUAAUGACGGUACCUGAAGAAUAAGCACCGGCUAACUACGUGCCAGCAGCCGCGGUAAUACGUAGGGUGCAAGCGUUAAUCGGAAUUACUGGGCGUAAAGCGUGCGCAGGCGGUUUUGUAAGUCUGAUGUGAAAUCCCCGGGCUCAACCUGGGAAUUGCAUUGGAGACUGCAAGGCUAGAAUCUGGCAGAGGGGGGUAGAAUUCCACGUGUAGCAGUGAAAUGCGUAGAUAUGUGGAGGAACACCGAUGGCGAAGGCAGCCCCCUGGGUCAAGAUUGACGCUCAUGCACGAAAGCGUGGGGAGCAAACAGGAUUAGAUACCCUGGUAGUCCACGCCCUAAACGAUGUCUACUAGUUGUCGGGUCUUAAUUGACUUGGUAACGCAGCUAACGCGUGAAGUAGACCGCCUGGGGAGUACGGUCGCAAGAUUAAAACUCAA
This 864-nucleotide ribosomal RNA is filed under the name Burkholderiales bacterium Control.9. RNAcentral's name for it is "bacterial SSU rRNA". It matches the Rfam family "Bacterial small subunit ribosomal RNA", at positions 42 to 904 of the family's 1533-position model. The record is from RNAcentral. Lineage: Bacteria; Pseudomonadati; Pseudomonadota; Betaproteobacteria; Burkholderiales.